AUUGACCAAAUGUGACAAUGAUCAAAACUGAGUUAAGAAACAAAUACGCUACACAAUCACACAUAAUACCUCCUGAAGACCACCACAUAAUUUCCUUCCAUUCACAGCAUUGAUUGAGUCACCUGAUCGCACUCCAACUUUAUCAGCAGGCGAUCCUUUAUACACCUGUGCUAGAUCAUUUCAAAGCUCAUAACAAAAGCCAAAAAUUACAUAAAAUAGUACCAGAAGUUGAUCAAAGAGAUAGCUUAGAGGCUUGAACCAAUUAUCAGACAGAUUUAAAAAUUGUGAUUCCCGGAUAUGCAAAAACCGAUAAGAAAACGGACGAUGAAAGGAAACAGACAUACAAAGUGAUGUAGGAGGGUUUCUUUAGUAUUUUAUUAUUUUAGCUAGAUUUAAUUUUACUAUAUUUUAGCUAGAUUUGUUAUUUUCUUUUAUUAUCUUUUAGCUAGAUUUGUUAUUUUCCUUAGCUAGGUUUGUAAUUUUCUUUUACUAUAUUUUAGCUAGAUUUGUUAUUUUUAUUUUUCAGUAGUAUUUAAGCUAAACUAUUGCAGCCUUGCAAUCUUUUCAUUCAAUAAAAUUAUAGAGAUUUUUCUCAAGUUUGGUGGAAUCCAAAUUAUUUACUCCUUCUGGUGGAUUCCGGAAGUCUGGUGGAUUCUAGAUUAGUUACUCCUUCUGGUGG
RNAcentral lists this long non-coding RNA (679 nucleotides) under Trifolium pratense (red clover). Its description in RNAcentral is "long non-coding RNA (TPRA_LNC009688)". The record is from RNAcentral. Lineage: Eukaryota; Viridiplantae; Streptophyta; Magnoliopsida; Fabales; Fabaceae.